This 382-nucleotide ribosomal RNA is filed under the name uncultured bacterium. Its description in RNAcentral is "bacterial SSU rRNA". It matches the Rfam family "Bacterial small subunit ribosomal RNA", at positions 28 to 409 of the family's 1533-position model. The record is from RNAcentral.
GACGAACGCUGGCGGCGUGCUUAACCCAUGCAAGUCGAGCGGUAAGGCCCUUUCGGGGGUACACGAGCGGCGAACGGGUGAGUAACACGUGGGUGACCUGCCCUCAGCUCUGGGAUAAGCCUGGGAAACCGGGUCUAAUACUGGAUAUGACUCCAUGACGCAUGUUGUGGGGUGGAAAGCCUUGUGCGGCUGAGGAUGGGCCCGCGGCCUAUCAGCUUGUUGGUGGGGUGANGGGCCUACCAAGGCGACGACGGGUAGCCGGCCUGAGAGGGCGACCGGCCACACUGGGACUGAGACACGGCCCAGACUCCUACGGGAGGCAGCAGUGGGGAAUCUUGCGCAAUGGGCGAAAGACCUGACGCAGCGACGCCGCGUGAGGGAG